Molecule: long non-coding RNA, 4872 nt
Organism: Gopherus flavomarginatus (Mexican gopher tortoise)
Lineage: Eukaryota; Metazoa; Chordata; Testudines; Testudinidae
Exons: 7
Source: RefSeq, a predicted model, not a curated record
GUCUGCUCCACGCGCGCGUGGACGUCGUUGGUGUGGAGGAGCGUGAGCUGGAAGGCGGCCCGGGCGGCGUGCGCCAGGCAGAGCAGCGCGACAUGACCCACUGGCUUCCUGAUUCUGCCUAUUGUACUCCAGCUCACUGGCAAGAAAGUGACAGGAGACCCUAACAAAGAACCAAGAGAAAAGGGGCCAAGAUGAGACAACCCUUGAGACAAGAUUAGAACAUCACCAAGCCCUUCCUACAGGUAGAUCUAAUUGAGUAUCACUGUCUAAGAGGGUUCAUUACUAGCACCUGCCUGACCAAGUUGGAGCCAGCCAACAUGGAAUUAAGCAAACUGAGUCUAGUUCUGUUACCACUUUUUGAUGUACAAUUUUUUCUGGCUGAUAGCCCCAAGGCGUCACUGGAGCACAGCACUUUGGUGAUGUGCCCUCUGCUCAUGCACAUGGGGUUGCAUAAAGCUGACUAUGCGAAGCAGGGGUUCCACUGCUCUGGAGAAGGCCUCAGCUGCCUCAUUAGGGCAUCUUUACGACCCCUCCGCUCCACCGGAUGUUUAUCAGGCAUUCUGUGGGUGAGGAGGGAGGGGAUUCUGAAGGCCACAAUGGCAGCAGCUGCAGCUAAAACAUGCAAAGGGUCUACAACCCCUUGCAACUCCACAUCCCUCCACUUUAAGUACUACCUUCAAGUUGUUUCAUGCAGGUGGACUCCUGUGCUUACAAAGGGCCCCAUUGUCUUCAGUGCAGAUGUCUACUUGUGAGCACCAGUGAAAGGCUUGCAAGAUCAAGGCUGUGAGCUUCUAGGAAAAAGGUAUCUCAUAUGCAUAUUAGGCUUUGAGGAUAGGCCAGACCCUGACUCAGCCAAUUAUUUGCAGCUGGAUUAGAACGUGUCUAUAUACUCAGAAGAGUUGUAUGUGGCUUUCUGGCAAAACUAACCAACAUGGAACUCAUUGCAGCCCUCUCAAACAUAGAAAGAGGCAGGAUUUGCCCUUCAGUUAAAAGCAUUCUGCUAUGCACAGGUUCUGGUGCUUGUAUUUGGAGCUACAUUUAAUAAUGGUUUUCAUGGUCUUUAAAAACAAAAACAAAGACAAGCAAAAAACCACGCCCCUAGAACUAAAGCAGACGUGCUAUAUAUUCAAAAGAAAUAUACUAGAAAUAAUGUAACCCCUUUUUCUGAGAAUUAUUUUCUUGUUUAUUAAAGGUUUACAUUGGAAAGAAAAUUAUAAAUGACAGUGUUAAUUGUACUGAACACAUUGUUAACAGGGUGGCAGGGCUCUUCUGUUGACCCAUCUUGUUAGCAAGUAAGCGUUAGACCCUGUAUAAAGUUGCUAACUUGUCUUCAAAGAGAAUCACACAAGUGCUUACUGUGCACUACUUGCAUUUGGGAAGAAAUUUUAGACAGUCUUAACACCUUUGCUUUGUGUUUAGGUUGGUGGCACAGCGGGGCUAAGGCAGGCUCCCAGCCUACUCUGGUCCCAUGCUGCUCCCAGAAGCAGGAGCAUGUUUACACUUAGAGCUGGAGGUCUGACUCCCAGGUAGAGGAAACAUACCUGAGCUAGCUCUGAUGAAGUUACCAUGUUAAAAAUAGAGUGUAAUCUCAGCAGCAUGAGUGAUGGGAAGGGCUAGUUGCCCUGAGUAUGUACGAGUCCUCGGGGUGGCUGUCCCUUCCCACCACUUGUGCCCCCAUGGCUACACUGUAUUUUACCAUGCUAGCUUGAUCAAAACUAGUGCUGGUAUAGCUCCUUGAACCAGACUCCCAACUCCAAGUGUAGACAUACCCUACUCCAUAGAAACAACACUCCACUUGCUAGAUUUUACAACCCCUUCACCCUUGUGCACAGGAUGCCAUCUAACACUAUACUUCUAUGGGCCUAUCAUUUAAACCAACAGACUACUUUCAUCUCCCAUCUCACCAGUGAGAAUCCCUAUGGCAAGGAGAUGCUUGUACUCUGCCAUUAAGACAACCUACAGAACUCAGCACUGAAAUUAUGCAUACUGGAUCCCUCAAGUUACACAUGCACCUUUUUCCUUUGAUCCUUUAAGGGGGCAGGAAAUGGUUUUAGAUCUCCCCUACAGAAGGGCAGCUUCCCUCCCCCCCCCCGAUCUCCUCACAACACAAUCACAGCUUUGCUGAGAUGCUGUAAUACAAUACAGCUACACCUAACUUAGUGAACGAUGCUGAAGAGCAUCCAAAUAAUUCCUAGUGACUAUUUCCAGCUCUGAGGGGAUAGAAUUAAGAUUGUGUUGGCACAAACCUGAACUCUGCAUUUCCUGAUUUUCAAAGGCUUCAAUUUUGCUGAACUCAACAAAAGGUCUGAGAAACCACCAUGCAAUCUUAACUCCAUGCUAACGAAGCUUUUUGUCAGUGAAUUCCAUGUAUAGGGCACCAUCCUUUUCAGUUGGAUCUAUUUGAAUCUGCUAAGUGACUUUUAGAUCCUGAUUGCAUUCAGCUGUGCCACUAUUCUUUUCCUCAUUAACUUAGACUAGCGGUUCUCAAACUAUGGGUCAGGACCCCAAAGUGGGACAUAAGCCCAUUUUAAUGGGGUCUCCAGGGCUGGUUUAGACUUGCUGGGUUCUGGGGCUGAAGUGCAAGCCCAACUACCUGGGGCCAAAGCCUGAGGGAUUCAACCCUGGGUGGUGGGGCUCCUAAGCUGCCUGAGACUGAAGCCCUUUGGCUUUGGGCCCCCCCCCCCACUGGGGCCACGGGGCUCAGGCUUUGGCUUUGGCCCCUUCACCCAGGCCAGCGGGGUUCAGGCUUCAGUUCCCCCCUCCUGGGGUCAUGUAGUAAUUUUUGUUGUCAGAAGGGAGUCGUGGUGCAAUGAAGUUUGAGAACACCUGACAUUGUUGAGGAUCCGGCCCAUGCUAUUUACUUAUUGAUGCUGUUUAACAUUUAAUAAUCAAGUGUGUUAUGGUAGUGCCUAAGGACCAACCAAGAACAGGGCCCCAUUGUGGUAGGCACAUUGUACCAACACACAGUAGUAGGGCAGAGAAAGUCCAGUCAGAACUGUAAGAAGUUCUCUGAAUGGUCAAAGGUCCCUGCUGUGGCUGGUCUGCUCCAGCUGCUCCUCUCUGCAGUUUUUCCUCAAUGCCAUAUAGGCAGAGAGGAGGCACCACCAGGGUCCCAGUUUCCCCCAUGUGCAUGCGGGCAUCUUUUUAGCACAAUUCUGGAUCCAGAAGGGACGGGUGGUCCUGGUUGCACUCCAUUUUAUCCCAUCCCACUCAACACACCAGUCCCUUCUUUAGCAGCUUCUGUAGCUGCUCUAACUGGAGUCUGGCUGAUUUCUCUGCAAUUUUUCUGCAAGGCCAUAUGGUGGUGGAGGAUAAGGUGAGACACCACCUGAAUCCAGUAUAUAUUUUUGUCAGACCAGAGACCAUACCUGGGCUGAGGCAGAUGUUCAUUGAGUGACCUUGUGUAGUAUAUGAAGGCCCCAAACUGAUUCAAAAGGGGAUCUGUUAUUCCGGUACAGGUUCACUUAGGGUUGCCAGAUGUCUGAUUCAAAAAGGUACCCUGGGUGAUCUGGUCAGUGCCGCUGACCGGGCCAUUAAAAGUCCAGUUGGCAGGGCUGUCAGGCUCCCUACUUGGCUCUGCGCAGCUCCCGGAAGCAGUGACAUGCGGUGAUAUGCACGCUGCUCCCACCUGUGCUCCAGGUCCGGACCUCCCAUUGGCCAGGAACUGCAGCCAAUGGGAGCUGUGGGGGUGGCGCCUGUGGGCAGAGGCAGUGUGCUCUGCGCAAAGCUACCUGGCUGCCCCUUUGCCUAGGAACCGAAGGACAUGUCACCAGUUCUUUUUUGGGUGUGUGUGGAGGUUAGACAGAAAAGUAAAGGGAAGGGGGGAUAAUGAAGGGAAGGAGAGAAGAGGGUAAGAGGUACAGGUGUGGAGUGAAGCUAAGGUGAAGAAACUGUGAGGGAGGGAAAGGGUUGGAGCCAACUGUCCCGCCUGUGCACUGGCUCCGGACCUCCUAUUGGCCAGGAACUGCAGCCAAUGGGAGCUGUGGGGGCGGCGCCUGUGGGUGGAGGCAGUGUGCACGGAGCAAAGCCACCUGGAAGCCCCUCUGUCUAGGAACCGAAGGACAAGUUGCCACUUCCGGGGAUCCCCCUGAGGUUUGGGAGAUCUUCUGGAACAGUGCAGUGGAGAUAUCUGUGGUCCUUGAUCAGCAACGAGUGCAGAAGGGAUUUCUGAUAAUAAAACCAUUUCUUCAGGCUUAACUUCCAAGUCUGCUGUAUUGGUUGGUAUGGGGUCCUCAGGAAUCUCACUAUUUCUGGAUGUAGCAACUGGAUCGUCUAAUUGUAGGGAUAUAUCUACAUAUAUAUCCACGUAAUAUGUUAUAGGCAAUCAAGGCCUAAUGUGGAUUGAGUAUGCUUGACAUAAGUAUGUGCGUUGCGUGUUGGCAACUGAAGUGAGAACUUAAGAUUUCAAGUGGUCAAGAACUAAUUGCACAAAACAACUUUAUGUCCCUAGGCAAUAUAUAAAGAAUCAGCAGAUAAGGAAAUAACACCAGCUGGACUGAUAUAAAAAAUGUAUAAGAAUUGGAGGAAAUGGCAUGCCUUGGAUCAUGGCGGCCUGCCUGGAACUGCCUCCUUGGAGUUGUGGGUGAAAGGCCCAGACAACAGAGACAAAAGACUAAUGAUGCCAUGAAGUGGAUUAUAAAUGGAGGCUUCACACAUUUGCAAUUUGGAGUCUUUCAACAACCCAGAGCCCUGUUUGGAUAUAGAUGUGGUCUUUCUGCUGGCUCCCCACAUCUGAUCUGAUCUGACUGAACCUCACCUGGCCAUCAGGACUUCAUUCUGAUCUGGGGACUCUGGUGUAGUAUGUUCGGGGUACGAAUGUGGAGUGAAUUAGGUUUUAUUUUUUAAGCAAUAAAGAGUACUUAGAGUAUUAUA